RNAcentral lists this unclassified non-coding RNA (400 nucleotides) under Hevea brasiliensis (rubber tree). Lineage: Eukaryota; Viridiplantae; Streptophyta; Magnoliopsida; Malpighiales; Euphorbiaceae. The record is from RNAcentral.
GCACAAACAUUAAUCCAUCAUUUAUAUCAUCAUCUGUAUCAAAUUAGGUAUGAAGCCACGAUGCAGUACCUAGGCCAAGCUCUUAUGUGAGGAAGGAUGUUGAGGCAUGAGCAUCAAUCACUCCUCUGAAACCUUGAAAAAUGUAUAGGAUAGAAUUAUGUUGUUAAUCCCAUCCAUUCUAGGAUCAGUUUCGAAUUCUGGGUCAAUAUAAAAGAAUACAGGCAUAUCAAUCUGCUCCCCAGGAAGAAGACGCUGCUCCUCAAAGCAAAAGCAUUGUAUUUUAUUGAAGUACACUGCAGCCUUCAUAGGGGUCACAUUAUACGUAGAUACACCAGUUAUUGGAGUUGAACUUCGAUUCUCAGCAGUGUAAAAUGCAAGAGCACUUUCUCCUGGUUUUACC